AGACGAGUGGCGAACUGGUGAGUAACACGUGGGUAACCUGCCCUUGAAGUAGGGGAUAACACUUGGAAACAGGUGCUAAUACCGUAUAACAACCAAAACCCCAUGGUUUUGGUUUAAAAGAUGGCUUCGGCUAUCACUUUAGGAUGGACCCGCGGCGUAUUAGCUUGUUGGUGAGGUAACGGCUCACCAAGGCAAUGAUACGUAGCCGACCUGAGAGGGUAAUCGGCCACAUUGGGACUGAGACACGGCCCAAACUCCUACGGGAGGCAGCAGUAGGGAAUCUUCCACAAUGGACGAAAGUCUGAUGGAGCAACGCCGCGUGAGUGAUGAAGGGUUUCGGCUCGUAAAACUCUGUUGUUGGAGAAGAACGGGUGUGAGAGUAACUGUUCACAUCGUGACGGUAUCCAACCAGAAAGCCACGGCUAACUACGUGCCAGCAGCCGCGGUAAUACGUAGGUGGCAAGCGUUGUCCGGAUUUAUUGGGCGUAAAGCGAGCGCAGGCGGUUUUUUAGGUCUGAUGUGAAAGCCUUCGGCUUAACCGGAGAAGUGCAUCGGAAACCGGGAGACUUGAGUGCAGAAGAGGACAGUGGAACUCCAUGUGUAGCGGUGAAAUGCGUAGAUAUAUGGAAGAACACCAGUGGCGAAGGCGGCUGUCUGGUCUGUAACUGACGCUGAGGCUCGAAAGCAUGGGUAGCGAACAGGAUUAGAUACCCUGGUAGUCCAUGCCGUAAACGAUGAGUGCUAAGUGUUGGAGGGUUUCCGCCCUUCAGUGCUGCAGCUAACGCAUUAAGCACUCCGCCUGGGGAGUACGACCGCAAGGUUGAAACUCAAAGGAAUUGACGGGGGCCCGCACAAGCGGUGGAGCAUGUGGUUUAAUUCGAUGCUACGCGAAGAACCUUACCAGGUCUUGACAUCUUCUGCCAACCU
RNAcentral lists this ribosomal RNA (927 nucleotides) under uncultured bacterium. RNAcentral describes it as "bacterial SSU rRNA". It matches the Rfam family "Bacterial small subunit ribosomal RNA", at positions 89 to 999 of the family's 1533-position model. The record is from RNAcentral.